GGUACCUUUAAUUCAGUCCAGAGAGGCUGACAAGGACAGCGGAUUUUUAUAAUCACGUGAGAAGCAGGGCAUAUUCCGUCAAGGGAUGCUCUGUGUCUUAGCGCGGAUUAUGAUGAACAAAAGAGGCUACUUGUCAGUUUGAUCUGACGAGUAGCCUCUUUUGU
Regulatory RNA element from Paenibacillus sp. FSL H7-0737, 164 nucleotides. It matches the Rfam family "PyrR binding site". Rfam says of the family: This family represents the PyrR binding site and terminator structure. This RNA structure is found upstream of a variety of genes involved in pyrimidine biosynthesis and transport. The alignment also includes a portion of the antiterminator structure. NCBI's taxonomy places the organism in Bacteria, Bacillati, Bacillota, Bacilli, Caryophanales, Paenibacillaceae. The record is from Rfam.